RNAcentral lists this transfer RNA (73 nucleotides) under Stegodyphus mimosarum. It matches the Rfam family "tRNA". From Rfam's summary of the family: Transfer RNA (tRNA) molecules are approximately 80 nucleotides in length. Their secondary structure includes four short double-helical elements and three loops (D, anti-codon, and T loops). Further hydrogen bonds mediate the characteristic L-shaped molecular structure. tRNAs have two regions of fundamental functional importance: the anti-codon, which is responsible for specific mRNA codon recognition, and the 3' end, to which the tRNAs corresponding amino acid is attached (by aminoacyl-tRNA synthetases). tRNAs cope with the degeneracy of the genetic code in two manners: having more than one tRNA (with a specific anti-codon) for a particular amino acid; and 'wobble' base-pairing, i.e. permitting non-standard base-pairing at the 3rd anti-codon position. Lineage: Eukaryota; Metazoa; Arthropoda; Arachnida; Araneae; Eresidae. The record is from Rfam by way of RNAcentral.
GCCUUCGUGGUGUAAUGGUCAGCACACUCGACUCGUAUUCGAGAGGUCCGUGGUUCGGAUCCCGGCGUGAGCA